GCCGCGAUAGCUCAGUUGGGAGAGCGUUAGACUGAAGAUCUAAAGGUCGUUGGUUCGAUCCCGACUCGCGGCA
RNAcentral lists this transfer RNA (73 nucleotides) under Soboliphyme baturini. It matches the Rfam family "tRNA". From Rfam's summary of the family: Transfer RNA (tRNA) molecules are approximately 80 nucleotides in length. Their secondary structure includes four short double-helical elements and three loops (D, anti-codon, and T loops). Lineage: Eukaryota; Metazoa; Nematoda; Enoplea; Dioctophymatida; Soboliphymatidae. The record is from Rfam by way of RNAcentral.